This 501-nucleotide ribosomal RNA is filed under the name uncultured bacterium. Its description in RNAcentral is "partial 16S ribosomal RNA". It matches the Rfam family "Bacterial small subunit ribosomal RNA", at positions 30 to 523 of the family's 1533-position model. The record is from RNAcentral.
AUUGAACGCUGGCGGCAGGCUUAACACAUGCAAGUCGAGCGGGGGAAGGUAGCUUGCUACCGAACCUAGCGGCGGACGGGUGAGUAAUGCUUAGGAAUCUGCCUAUUAGUGGGGGACAACAUCUCGAAAGGGAUGCUAAUACCGCAUACGUCCUACGGGGGAAAGCAGGGGAUCUUCGGACCUUGCGCUAAUAGAUGAGCCUAAGUCGGAUUAGCUAGUUGGUGGGGUAAAGGCCUACCAAGGCGACGAUCUGUAGCGGGUCUGAGAGGAUGAUCCGCCACACUGGGACUGAGACACGGCCCAGACUCCUACGGGAGGCAGCAGUGGGGAAUAUUGGACAAUGGGGGGAACCCUGAUCCAGCCAUGCCGCGUGUGUGAAGAAGGCCUUAUGGUUGUAAAGCACUUUAAGCGAGGAGGAGGCUACUCUAGUUAAUACCUAGGGAUAGUGGACGUUACUCGCAGAAUAAGCACCGGCUAACUCUGUGCCAGCCGCCGCCGUAA